UCGGGCCUCCAAGCAGCCGCCCGGUUAUUAAAGACGGUUCGUCUCAAGCGCUGC
This 54-nucleotide non-coding RNA is filed under the name unclassified sequences. RNAcentral's name for it is "chromate-resist RNA". It matches the Rfam family "chrB-b RNA". The record is from RNAcentral.